Pelobates cultripes (western spadefoot toad) is the source of this 360-nucleotide non-coding RNA. The record is from the annotation of a GenBank genome assembly. Lineage: Eukaryota; Metazoa; Chordata; Amphibia; Anura; Pelobatidae.
CCCAGCCCCACCGGCUGUAAUGCGUUCCCUGCCCGCUAGGCAGUCAAGCUAACUUAAAAUCCCAGCCCCACCGGCUGUAAAAUCCCAGCCCCACCGGCUGUAAUGCGUUCCCUGCCCGCUAGGCAGUCAAGCUAUUGUCUUUUAAAAAGGGGGAAAACACACACUCCGGCCGUCACACACAUUCAAACAAAUACAGGAGGCAGAUAGACAAUCGACAGGUUCACUUUAAAAAGGUACCCCGGAUGAGCUAAAUACCUGUCUCUAGUAGCCUUCUGGAAGCCGGAAGUGGACUCGGAGACAGACCGACACAAAACAGGAGAAUAACACAGGCAACGGCUGUAUUAUGGAGGUGAUCAGGCU